CUAUCAUUUUCAUUUUUACUUGUUAUUCCUUCAUCUUAAUGGAUGUUAGGGUGCCACAUUUUUCAGGGAAGUUGUAAUUGCUUCAGAACCUGAGCACACACUGAUUACAUACUACAGGAUUGACAGCUAAAGGACUGAAAGCCAUUUCAAUGUUAUCGGCAAUACCGUUUCUCCCUUUGUGCCCAGAAUUCAGGUGCUUGUGUUCUGCCAUAAUUAUUACUUGACAUUUGGAGUGGGCUGAGGUUUGGGCUAUUUUUUUAACUACUGAUCAUCAAAAGAUUGCAUCAAUGAUAAUUUUGAAUAUCUUAGGAGGCCUGUUCCCAUCUUAACUGUUUGAUCUUAUGUAAUUAUAGGUUAAUACUCUAUUUCGAAAGGCCUUGGCAACUAUCAUUCAAGGCAUUCACAAUGUACGUGAUACAUCAUACGGAACAGUUUAGUUCUGGAAAAGCAAGAACACUGAUAUGUGAAAUACAUACCAAGCCAUCAAUGAAAUUACAGAUGAAGCAAUCUGGGAAUAUCAACUGCAGAAGGCUGCCAUGUCUGUCAGACAAGCAGCAGCAUGUUCUGAAGUUGGCCAUAAGGGCAGUGGUAUAGAAGAAUUCAAGAAG
RNAcentral lists this long non-coding RNA (608 nucleotides) under Felis catus (domestic cat). RNAcentral describes it as "lncRNA (ENSFCAG00000047168.1)". The record is from RNAcentral. Lineage: Eukaryota; Metazoa; Chordata; Mammalia; Carnivora; Felidae.